This 5531-nucleotide long non-coding RNA is filed under the name Canis lupus familiaris (dog). RNAcentral's name for it is "lncRNA (ENSCAFG00000050254.1)". The stretch from base 651 to 723 matches the Rfam family "tRNA". Lineage: Eukaryota; Metazoa; Chordata; Mammalia; Carnivora; Canidae. The record is from RNAcentral.
GCCCAUGUGAGCUCUUGAUAAGAUACUAAGCAAGGUCAAUUUCUCCAUAGUAAUUACUACACAUCACAAUUAGUUUAAAGAGAAUUCUGAGAUCUUUGUUGCACCAUGAGAAUCUAGUUCAGAUUCUUGAUGCUGAAUGUGAUGAAUUAUAUUCAAAGACAAGGUCCUUCUGCAAAGACUUCCCCAGAUGUUCUAAAUUGAAUACAAAAUCCUUUGCUUUUGUACCCCGAACAGGUUUUGGGGGCUGGUCUAACAUGAUGAUGAUUCUCUUUGGUGUUCAGCAGCAGGUUCUCAAGGGUCUUAAGCAUCACCUAGGUGUAGUAUUGAAAAUUAUUCCGCACUAAAUUGUCUCAAAAGUUGUGAAACAGGCUAAUAUUUCUGACUUGGGUCUGUUUUACAUCAAGGCCCAAACUCUUUUCACAUUGCUGGUUUGUCUCAGACAGGUUAGCUUAGACUAAGGAACACACCAGGUACUGGGCCACCAGUGCUCACUGACUCUGCCUUAAGUUUGUUUGAUGACACCAUGUGACAGAUGAACAUUUUAUACCUCUGUUUUAUACCUGUCAGUCACUCAAGGAUUUGGGAUUUACAGAAGGGAAAAAGCCCUAUUGUAAGAAAUACAACUAUUGGCAGGGGGGAGUAGUGGGGGUGCCUAGAUGGCUCAGUGUGUAGAGCAUGGGACUCUUGAUUUCAGGGUCAUGAGUUCAAGCCCCAUGUUGGGCCUGGUGCCUACUUUAAAAAAAGGAAAGAAAUGUAACUAUUGCUAGUGGCUUUAAAGCUCUACAGAAUAACAACUAAUGGCUUGAGUGAGAUGACUUCCAAGUUUAAAUGAACCUGCAUAAAGAAUACAAAUAACUGAGGGGGGAAAAAUCUUGAAAUUUUAAUAUCCCCACUUAGGUAGAAAGUCUGCAGGUCGCACGCAAAUGAAAUCAUUAGAAUGAGGUCAGACAAGCCACACAAUACCCUGAUGCUUAUCUCUGGUAACUAAGUCUGCAGAAAAAGCCUCAUUUAAAUAAAUCUUUUGUUUCUAAACUUUCCUUACAUGAAACAGCACUGUUUGGUAAAGGCCAAAUUCCUGGUGGUUAUCUCACUAAGGAAGCAGACAUUUUUGAGAAUGCCAGUUAAAGGGAGACCUACCCCCUCACACAAGACUCAUUCUGUUGAAACUAGCAACAUAGCAUCUUCCCUACGGUGAGGGUCCUGGUCCUGUCUGUGAUGAAGUUACCAUUUCUACAACCCCCACUUCACCUGCAGUAUGGGUUUUGCACAUGAAGGAAUCUUUCGGAAUCUUCCCAUCCUCCUACAGGCCAGCAAUGUUCCCUCUCUCCUCAGAACUCCCACUCAGAAGGAAUUGCCAGGACAUUCCUCUGUUUGCCUAUUAGCAGAGUCAGGGAUAUCAGAGUAUUUGCAAGCCAGCUCGAGAGCCUUUGAUGGCUUUCAUGUUCCGUUGAAAACAAAAUGUUAAUUAUGUAAGAGGAAGAUGCUGUGCAUGUCAUCAUUUUGUGCUAGAUUUCAUAAGUUCUAGAUCUGAUCCUGCCCCAAGUUGUCAUUUCAUUUCCUGUAAAUAUACCUCUGCAACCGCCACCAAAUAACCAAACACCAAAAUCUGAUGUUUCUGUUCCAUCACUGGGUUAGUGUCCUCCCUUUUCCCUGUCCUUCUUUGCAGCUCUGCAUGUUAGCACUUUUCCUCUGUACCAGGCAUUGUGCACUGAGCUAGGGACACACGAGACAGAAUGUGUUUCCUGCCUCUGAGCAGCUCACAGUCUUGUUUGGGGAGACAGAUAUAUAAAUAAUCCAGUUUCCGUCAUUUCAUUCCCCCAAGGCUUGCACACCCAAACCCAUCACCAGCCUUCCCUAUAGUUUCUCUCAUUUUAGUUUGGUUUGGGUGGGGAGAACACUUCUAUACAUUUGGAGAUUUUCCAUAGUGUAGGAAUAAUGGCUGCAAGUGAAAUUUGUCUAGCUCCUCACACAUAUACAACGAGACAGAAUUUGUGUUCCCUGUUGAUUUGCAGAGAAGCAAGAACCUUUGCAAAGAUGGAUUCCAAACCAGGAGACCCCCAUUGUCCCAUAAAUAGGCCAUCACAUGAGCAGGUCCUAGGAAAGGCUGGGAAAGAGAACUCUUGUGAUCUCAGAACCCACUCUCCCCUUAACCUCCUCUUCCAGACAAAGCAGACCUGAAGUGUUGACUUUGGCAGUGGGAGGACUGGCCAGUAGCCUACAGCUCAGUGAAUAAAAUUAAAAUCUUGAGUGGAUGGGGAGAGGGAGGUAUCUCCAACACUAGCAGCCAUCAGAAGGGUCUGUACAGAGGUGGCAGAGAAAAUAAUUCCAUUUCCAAUGAGUCUAGAGGCGUGAAGAGGCAAAUCAACUUCAUAAACAGCCCUGAAAUUGGUUGGUUAUGACCAUGAUGGGUGGAAACACUGAGCUUCACUCCAAUUUCCCUUGAUGUUAAUCACACCCAGGAAAUUGAAGGCCUUCCUCAUUUCUUUGUAGUGUGCUAUAGCUAAUGCCUAUUCUUCUCUGGGGUUUGGACAAAUCAUAGCAUUGACUCCCCAAGCUUCUGAUCUGGAUCAGUGCUGGGUGGCCCUUGAGUCAGGCCACAUUGCCUUUAGGAAAACCUUCAGUCUUGUCCUGGGGGGAUUUCUCCUCUGAUACUUUAUGAUGAUGGCAGCCUGUGUCUCCUCAAAUACUCAAAGCAACAGAAUUAAAACUUGGGUAUUCUAUAGAUCUGGCACUUGCUAUCCUCAUCAAGAUAUGUUGGAUCCUGACAGGCUCUGGAGGUGGGUGGGAGGUCUGGAGGUGGGUGUGGGUGCAGCAGCCAUGCAUGCAUCUCCCUACUUCACAGUGGUUCUGGUUUCAACAAUUGUGACUUCUGAUCCCCGUACACCUUGAAAUUGUAUUGUUUUGGCAUCCAAGUUAUGUCUUCCAGACAGCCUCUCAUACCCGGAAGCAGUGCUUUAAAACUUUUGUCAGGCCAUAUCUGGAGUUUUGGUUCCAAAAAUGCCAUUGUGGGUUAGCUAUACAGGGAUUUAAAAAGCACAACUCUAGUCUUGCUUUUGGGGCGCAGGCUGGGCUCAGGGGCUUGGCGUGGUGGGAAAAAGGGGCCAAGAUAGUGGUUGGCACAAGGAUAGGGAGAACUUUGGAAGUGGAGCCAGAGACUGUGAGGAUUGAGGCCCAGGAAAGUUUGGCACAAGUAAAAGCUGGGUAUUUAACCAGGAACAGUCCCUCUAUUUUUCUCAGCCUUGGCAGCAGGUCAGAGCAACAAGCAGUUCUAGCAAGGUCCACAUCCUUCCUAUUGUCUCCACCCCAACCUCACUCAUCGUCCCAAACAUCUGCUUCAGAUUUGGGCCCCUGCCUUCUCCCUGAUUCCUGUACCAAACCGCGAGGGCGAGGGCGAGGGGCAGGUCUGCAGGUGUGGGAUGGGGAAUAAGAGGAAGUGGAAGGUUUUGGGGAAAGUCGCUGAAAGAUUUUGUUUCAGGUGCUGCAGAAGGAUUAAGGGUCUGACCUUUUUCUUCUUCUUUUUCUUUUUUUUUCAAUGUGCAUGUAUAUCCCCAGAAUCUAACCAGUAAGUUGUUUCACUCUCUGGGUCAAGGGAGCAACUGAGGGAGGGAAUUGGGACCAGCUGGGGAUGUCUUUGGGCCAUCACAUGGCCUGCUUUUCAAAGGCAGCUCAGAGUCACUCCAAAGGGAGAAACUAAAGUCAUUAAUGUCCACAAUGAACAGUUGAGAAGUGCUAAUGAGGUAGUAAACAUUCUUCUCCAGCUAGCAGCUGCCUGGAGGCUGAAGCAGAGCUGUGAACCAAGCCCAGGACUAGAGGUGGCAGGAGAGAAGAAACCAGCCGGUGCUAGCAGUUAGUCAUGGCAGCCUCAAACAUCUCACUGGGACGAAUUUAAACUUUCUCUAGCACCUGCCCUGAAAUGUCAGUUCUUUCUUUCUAUCUAUCUAUCUAUCUAUCUAUCUAUCUAUCUAUCUAUCUAUCUAUCUAAAGAUUCAUUUAUUUAUUUAAGGGAGAGAGAGAAAGGGAAAGUAUGGGAGAAGGGCAGAGGGAGAGGGAGAGAGAAUCCCAAGAAGACUCCCUGCUGAGUGCAGAGCCUCACCAGGAGAUCAAUCCCAAGACCCUGAGAUCAUGAUCUGAGCCAGAACCAAGAGUUGGACACUUAACCGACUGAGCCACCCAGGAGCCCCGUCACUCCAUUUUAAGUGACAGAAACUCCCCAAGGGAAAAUACUGGGGAGUCUUAGGGAGUAAUCUCGAACUCUUAGAUUAGUAAUAGCCAGCAUCUAAUACUGUGCCAUGCCCUGCUGAAGGUACUGCCUGUGUUAACUCAUUUAAUCUUCACAUCAAUCUACAAGGUACGGACAAAUUAUUUCCAUGUUACAGAUGAAAAACUGAGGCACAGAGAAGUAACUUGCCCAAGGUUGCAUGUCCAGUGACGAGUCUAGGUGUUAAGUUGGCCCUGACACUUUAUCUCAUAUGAGCUCAAAAGAGGUAGAGUUUGAGGGCAGGACAGUCAAACCCACAGGAUGCUGGUAAGAAAGUGCUAGUGUUCGGCUCAUCUUCCAAAUCAGAGACAGAUUGUGUGGCCUCUGACUUCUGGGGCUCCAGGAAGCCAGUCUGGCAGGGCUUCUCCAUCGGGUCCCACUGUUCUGUGCCUCCUGAGGCUUCCACUGCCCUUCCAGGUCAGAGCUUACACUUUCCACGCCUCUCUUCAGGGCAGGAGGUACCCCUCCAUCCACCUAGAUGAGCUGGGGGAAGCACCUUAGAGACUUGCCCCAGCUCCAGGCCCCUCGGGAAGAAGAGGCCCUGAAGGGUAGGAGUUGGCUAGGCCCUGUGUGCUGCCAGGAGCACCAUUAAACUUCAAAGCCGAGGUAUGGGAACCAGGCCCAUCACUUGGCUGGGAAGUUGAGAGCCUCGGUGACAUACCAACUCACCCUGGCAGGGCCUCUAUCUGCAGAGAAGCGACCUCAUGGGUAGCGACCGGCUGAGGGCCUCUUCCAGCUGCUGCUGCCAGAGUUUCUCCAGAGCCCAAUCAUGUCCCUUUUCCAUAGGAGAGAAGCAUGUGCUGGUGAGAGGUCACAGGGCCCUCUCCUGACUGGACCAGAGCCCCAUGGACAGUGGGUCGCAAGCAUGAAAUGAACAAGCCCAGGUGAUGCCUGCCUUUGAGCCUUUGCUUAUGGUGGGCACUCCUUGCAGACUACUGCCCAUCUCGGUCCCUCCAACCACCUUGCCCUUCAGACCCAGCUCAGGUCAGAACAGGUGAGGGCUAAAAGAAUUUUUUAAAAGAAUUUGUUUAUUUGGCAGCAUGCGCACAAGCAGGGGGAGUGGCAGGUAGAGGAAGUGGCAGGCAGAGGGAGAGGGAGAAGCAGACUCUCCACUGAGCAGGGAGCCCCAUGUGGGGCUCCAACCCAGCACCCUGGGAUCAUGACCUAAGCCAAAUGCUUACCGACAGAGCCACCCAGGUGCCCUUAGGUAAGAGAAUAUGGAAAGUGCUUCCAGUCUAACACACAUGGAGCCUUAAAAAAAAAAAAAAAAAAA